Molecule: ribosomal RNA, 253 nt
Filed under: uncultured bacterium
Lineage: Bacteria
Description: partial 16S ribosomal RNA
Rfam family: Bacterial small subunit ribosomal RNA
Source: RNAcentral
UACAGAGGGUGCGAGCGUUAAUCGGAAUUACUGGGCGUAAAGGGCGCGUAGGCGGGUGCUUAAGUUAGGUGUGAAAUUCCUGGGCUUAACCUAGGGACUGCACUUAAUACUGAGGAUCUAGAGUAGAGUAGAGGGAAGUGGAAUUUCCGGUGUAGCGGUGAAAUGCGUAGAUAUCGGAAAGAACACCAGUGGCGAAGGCGGCUUCCUGGACUCAUACUGACGCUGAGGCGCGAAAGCGUGGGGAGCAAACAGG